This 481-nucleotide long non-coding RNA is filed under the name Vigna radiata. RNAcentral's name for it is "long non-coding RNA (VRAD_LNC003839)". The record is from RNAcentral. Lineage: Eukaryota; Viridiplantae; Streptophyta; Magnoliopsida; Fabales; Fabaceae.
CUUCUUCAUUUUAACCACCUUUUUAGGUUGUCAACACAAAAAUAUUAUUCUUAAUUUCAUUUAACAUACUUUAUGUUGCCAUAAUAUCUCAAGUCGUCGGUAAUGUGAUGAUUAACAACUUAAGUUCCUUGUUAGUCUACACUACUCAUUAGUCUUCACAUUCUCUCUAUUGGCUACAAAUUUCGAAUUAUCUAUUUUGACUCUGCACUACACUACUUAUUCCUCCAUUUAUAACAAAACAAGAAAGGGGGGAAAACGAAAAGUCGAACCCUCCUUCUCGCCCAACCCUUCUUCCUCAAACCAACCCUAUAAAACGAAGUAUGGUUCAUGCACAUUAAUCCAACCUUGAGAGAUUCAAGCCUUGGUCCAGCAACUCUAGUUUGCCUGCUCCAAAGGGUCCUCUCAAUCCACAUCUUCAACCCUAAGGUGCAUGAACCCUAGCUCAAGAAUUUGGGAAGAACUCAAACCCUUCUUGCGCCUG